ACUCCUGCGGGAGGCAGCAGUGGGGAAUUUUGGACAAUGGGCGAAAGCCUGAUCCAGCAAUGCCGCGUGAGUGAAGAAGGCCUUCGGGUUGUAAAGCUCUUUUGUCAGGGAAGAAACGGUGAAAGCUAAUAUCUUUUGCUAAUGACGGUACCUGAAGAAUAAGCACCGGCUAACUACGUGCCAGCAGCCGCGGUAAUACGUAGGGUGCAAGCGUUAAUCGGAAUUACUGGGCGUAAAGCGUGCGCAGGCGGUUUUGUAAGUCUGAUGUGAAAUCCCCGGGCUCAACCUGGGAAUUGCAUUGGAGACUGCAAGGCUAGAAUCUGGCAGAGGGGGGUAGAAUUCCACGUGUAGCAGUGAAAUGCGUAGAUAUGUGGAGGAACACCGAUGGCGAAGGCAGCCCCCUGGGUCAAGAUUGACGCUCAUGCACGAAAGCGUGGGGAGCAAACAGGAUUAGAAACCCGUGUAGUCCCAUGA
Molecule: ribosomal RNA, 474 nt
Filed under: uncultured organism
Description: partial 16S ribosomal RNA
Rfam family: Bacterial small subunit ribosomal RNA
Source: RNAcentral